This 237-nucleotide ribosomal RNA is filed under the name uncultured bacterium. RNAcentral's name for it is "partial 16S ribosomal RNA". It matches the Rfam family "Bacterial small subunit ribosomal RNA", at positions 99 to 334 of the family's 1533-position model. The record is from RNAcentral.
CGAACGGGUGAGUAACGCGUGAGGAACCUGCCUCAAAGAGGGGGACAACAGUUGGAAACGACUGCUAAUACCGCAUAAGCCCACGGCUCGGCAUCGAGCAGAGGGAAAAGGAGCAAUCCGCUUUGAGAUGGCCUCGCGUCCGAUUAGCUAGUUGGUGAGGUAACGGCCCACCAAGGCGACGAUCGGUAGCCGGACCGGGAGGUUGAACGGCCACAUUGGGACUGAGACACGGCCCAG